Ceratitis capitata (Mediterranean fruit fly) is the source of this 830-nucleotide RNA transcript. RefSeq lists it as uncharacterized. The record is from RefSeq and is a predicted model, not a curated record. NCBI's taxonomy places the organism in Eukaryota, Metazoa, Arthropoda, Insecta, Diptera, Tephritidae. The transcript has 4 exons.
ACCAACAUAAUCUCACAAAUUAACUCAAAGUCCGGUACAACCAUGGCACAAGGACGAAAUAAAGCCUUUAGAUUUUCCGUGCAACUACGUUUACAUCGGGUGAGCGGAUCAAUUUGAGCUACGACAGAGGAAGAAAAUUGUUGAACUUAUGUAUAUGCAUACCAUGCAGGUUCUUGUGUGGACUGAAUGAGCAAGUGAAAAGUAAAGUACUCUCUCGACGAGCCAAAACCAAACUCUACAAGUCAGGCAUCAUUGGUGCAAAAGCUUUGACGAUGUCGAUAGUCGAUGAGUCCUGCAAUCUGCUAGAAGGAUCAAAUGGAGUGCGACCCGGUUUCGCUAGGUAUUUCCAACAUGGACCAGAACCAGAACUGACAAGCAAACCAAUAACAUUAAAAUGCAACAAAGAAGCAAAAGUCUUGUAAAUUGACUGAAUGUGAUCAGCUGAUAUAGUAUGAUCACGAGACUUCCAAUCAAGUCGAGUGGUUAACUUUGGGAAGCUCAAAGUUCGAGUCGUGGCCUCACCAAUAUCAGAAACAAUAAGAUGUUAACUUUUCUAUCUAUUUCUGGCAUACAAAUUCUAAACUCUUCAUAAAUAACCAUCAGCCGUUCAGUGGCGGCUUAGUAUAAGCUCUCGGUCACUCCAUUUAUUGAAAAACAUCCGAAAUUUGAAGGAGGAACUCGGCCGAAGUUCACUUCAGCUAUUCAGCUUCUUCUAAUAAGCGGCUCACUUCUCAAUAUAUUUCUUCUUGAAACACGCUACGGAAUUAAUGUAUUUUGUGUAGUAUGUUGCCUCUUUGCGGUCAAUAUUAAAAUAAAUUCGUAAAACUUUA